Molecule: ribosomal RNA, 460 nt
Filed under: uncultured bacterium
Lineage: Bacteria
Description: partial 16S ribosomal RNA
Rfam family: Bacterial small subunit ribosomal RNA
Source: RNAcentral
CCUACGGGGGGCAGCAGUGAGGAGUAUUGGUCAAUGGACGAGAGUCUGAACCAGCCAAGUAGCGUGAAGGAUGACUGCCCUAUGGGUUGUAAACUUCUUUUAUAUGGGAAUAAAAUGUUCCACGUGUGGGAUUUUGUAUGUACCAUAUGAAUAAGGAUCGGCUAACUCCGUGCCAGCAGCCGCGGUAAUACGGAGGAUCCGAGCGUUAUCCGGAUUUAUUGGGUUUAAAGGGAGCGUAGGUGGAUUGUUAAGUCAGUUGUGAAAGUUUGCGGCUCAACCGUAAAAUUGCAGUUGAAACUGGCAGUCUUGAGUACAGUAGAGGUGGGCGGAUUUCGUGAUGUAGCGGUGAAAUGCUUAGAUAUCACGAAGAACUCCGAUUGCGAAGGCAGUUCACUGGACUGCAACUGACACUGAGGCUCGAAAGUGUGGGUAUCAAACAGGAUUAGAUACCCCAGUAGUC